UCCGUAGGUGAACCUGCGGAAGGAUCAUUAAAAAGGAUACCGGGAAACCGGUAGACCCCACCCGUGUCUAUCUACUCUUGUUGCUUUGGCAGGUCGUGGCCUUCCACCGUGGGCUCUGCCUACGCGUGCCUGCCAGAGGACCAAACUCUAAAUUUUAGUGAUGUCUGAGUAACUAUAUAAUAGUUAAAACUUUCAACAACGGAUCUCUUGGUUCUGGCAUCGAUGAAGAACGCAGCGAAAUGCGAUAAGUAAUGUGAAUUGCAGAAUUCAGUGAAUCAUCGAAUCUUUGAACGCAUAUUGCGCCCGGUGGUAUUCCGCCGGGCAUGCCUGUUCGAGCGUCAUUAUAACCACUCAAGCCUGGCUUGGUAUUGGGGUACGCGGCUUCGCGGCUCCUAAAAUCAGUGGUGGUGCCAGUGGGCUCUAAGCGUAGUAAAUCUCCUCGCUAUAAAGUCCCCUCUAGGUACUUGCCAAAACCCCCCAUUUUUACGGUUGACCUCGGCUCAGGUAGGGAUACCCGCUGAACUUAAGCAUAUCAAUAAGCGGAGGAAAAGAAACCAACAGGGAUUGCCUCAGUAACGGCGAGUGAAGCGGCAACAGCUCAAAUUUGAAAGCUGCCAACAGGCCGCGUUGUAAUUUGUAGAAGAUGCUUUGGGGGUUGGCCUAGUCUAAGUUCCUUGGAACAGGACGUCAUAGAGGGUGAGAAUCCCGUAUGUGAUUAGUGCCUUCUCCCGUGUAAAGCUCUUUCGACGAGUCGAGUUGUUUGGGAAUGCAGCUCAAAAUGGGUGGUAAAUUUCAUCUAAAGCUAAAUAUUGGCCAGAGACCGAUAGCGCACAAGUAGAGUGAUCGAAAGAUGAAAAGCACUUUGGAAAGAGAGUUAAACAGUACGUGAAAUUGUUGAAAGGGAAGCGCUUGCAACCAGACUUGCAGGCGGUCGAUCAUCCGAGGUUCUCCCCGGUGCACUCGAUCGUUUUCAGGCCAGCAUCGGUUUCGGUGGCGGGAUAAAGGCUCUAGGAAUGUGGCUCCUCGGAGUGUUAUAGCCUAGGGUGCAAUGCCGCCUACCGGGACCGAGGACCGCGCUUCGGCUAGGAUGCUGGCGUAAUGGUUGUAAGCGGCCCGUCUUGAAACACGGACCAAGGAGUUUAACAUCUAUGCGAGUGUUUGGGUGUCAAACCCAUACGCGUAAUGAAAGUGAACGGAGGUGAGAGCCCUUUAGGGCGCAUCAUCGACCGAUCCUGAUGUCUUCGGAUGGAUUUGAGUAAGAGCAUAGCUGUUGGGACCCGAAAGAUGGUGAACUAUGCGUGAAUAGGGUGAAGCCAGAGGAAACUCUGGUGGAGGCUCGCAGCGGUUC
This 1348-nucleotide unclassified non-coding RNA is filed under the name Helotiales sp. KO-groupC 2014. RNAcentral describes it as "partial contains ITS1, 5.8S rRNA, ITS2 and LSU". The stretch from base 491 to 1348 matches the Rfam family "Eukaryotic large subunit ribosomal RNA", at positions 1 to 886 of the family's 3401-position model. Lineage: Eukaryota; Fungi; Ascomycota; Leotiomycetes; Helotiales. The record is from RNAcentral.